UAAUACAUGUGGGGCAAGCGUUGUUCGGAAUUACUGGGCAUAAAGGGUGCGUAGGCGGCUUGUUAAGUCAGGGGUGAAAGUUUUCGGCCCAACCGGAAAAUUGCCUUUGAUACUGGCGAGCUUGAGUGCGUGAGGGGUAACCGGAACGAGUCGUGUAGCGGUGAAAUGCGUAGAUAUGACUCGGAAGGCCAACGGCGAAGGCAGGUUACUGGUACGCAACUGACGCUGAGGCACGAAAGCGUGGGGAGCAAACAGGAUUAGAUACCCUGGUAGUCCACGCCGUAAACGAUGAGCACUAGGUAGGUGCCGAGCUAUUCGGUGCCUGCCGCAGGUAAUUUGGUAAGUGCUCCGCCUGGGGAGUAUGGUCGCAAGGCUG
This 376-nucleotide ribosomal RNA is filed under the name uncultured bacterium. RNAcentral's name for it is "bacterial SSU rRNA". It matches the Rfam family "Bacterial small subunit ribosomal RNA", at positions 521 to 896 of the family's 1533-position model. The record is from RNAcentral.